AGUGAACGCUGGCGGUAGGCCUAACACAUGCAAGUCGAACGGCAGCACAGUAAGAGCCUGCUCUUACGGGUGGCGAGUGGCGGACGGGUGAGGAAUACAUCGGAAUCUACUUUUUCGUGGGGGAUAACGUAGGGAAACUUACGCUAAUACCGCAUACGACCUACGGGUGAAAGCAGGGGAUCUUCGGACCUUGCGCGAUUGAAUGAGCCGAUGUCGGAUUAGCUAGUUGGCGGGGUAAAGGCCCACCAAGGCGACGAUCCGUAGCUGGUCUGCGAGGAUGAUCAGCCACACUGGAACUGAGACACGGUCCAGACUCCUACGGGAGGCAGCAGUGGGGAAUAUUGGACAAUGGGCGCAAGCCUGAUCCAGCAUACCGCGUGGGUGAAGAAGGCCUUCGGGUUGUAAAGCCCUUUUGUUGGGAAAGAAAAGCAGCAGGUUAAUACCCCGCUGUUCUGACGGUACCCAAAGAGUAAGCACCGGCUAACUUCGUG
Molecule: ribosomal RNA, 491 nt
Filed under: uncultured bacterium
Lineage: Bacteria
Description: partial 16S ribosomal RNA
Rfam family: Bacterial small subunit ribosomal RNA
Source: RNAcentral